GACGAACGCUGGCGGCGUGCCUAAUACAUGCAAGUUGAGCGAUGAAGAUUGGUGCUUGCACCAAUUUGAAGAGCAGCGAACGGGUGAGUAACGCGUGGGGAAUCUGCCUUUUAGCGGGGGACAACAUUUGGAAACGAAUGCUAAUACCGCAUAACAACUUUAAACAUAAGUUUUAAGUUUGAAAGAUGCAAUUGCAUCACUCAAAGAUGAUCCCGCGUUGUAUUAGCUAGUUGGUGAGGUAAAGGCUCACCAAGGCGAUGAUACAUAGCCGACCUGAGAGGGUGAUCGGCCACAUUGGGACUGAGACACGGCCCAAACUCCUACGGGAGGCAGCAGUAGGGAAUCUUCGGCAAUGGACGAAAGUCUGACCGAGCAACGCCGCGUGAGUGAAGAAGGUUUUCGGAUCGUAAAACUCUGUUGGUAGAGAAGAACGUUGGUGAGAGUGGAAAGCUCAUCAAGUGACGGUAACUACCCAGAAAGGGACGGCUAACUACGUG
This 497-nucleotide ribosomal RNA is filed under the name uncultured bacterium. RNAcentral describes it as "partial 16S ribosomal RNA". It matches the Rfam family "Bacterial small subunit ribosomal RNA", at positions 28 to 507 of the family's 1533-position model. The record is from RNAcentral.